This 440-nucleotide ribosomal RNA is filed under the name uncultured bacterium. RNAcentral describes it as "partial 16S ribosomal RNA". It matches the Rfam family "Bacterial small subunit ribosomal RNA", at positions 338 to 795 of the family's 1533-position model. The record is from RNAcentral.
CCUACGGGAGGCAGCAGUGGGGAAUAUUGCACAAUGGGGGAAACCCUGAUGCAGCGACGCCGCGUGAGUGAAGAAGUCUUUCGGUAUGUAAAGCUCUAUCAGCAGGGGAGAAAAUGACGGUACCUGAUUAAGAAGCCCCGGCUAACUACGUGCCAGCAGCCGCGGUAAUACGUAGGGGGCAAGCGUUAUCCGGAUUUACUGGGUGUAAAGGGAGCGUAGACGGCAGCACAAGUCUGGAGUGAAAUGCCGGGGCUUAACCCCGAAACUGCUUUGGAAACUGUGCAGCUGGAGUGCAGGAGAGGUAAGUGGAAUUCCUAGUGUAGCGGUGAAAUGCUUAGAUAUUAGGAAGAACACCGAUUGCGAAGGCAGCUUACUAAACUGUAACUGACGUUGAGGCUCGAAAGCGUGGGUAGCAAACAGGAUUAGAUACCCGUGUAGUC